CCCGUGCUUGCACGGGGGAUUAGUGGCGAACGGGUGAGUAACACGUGAGUAACCUGCCCUCCACUCUGGGAUAAGCGCUGGAAACGGCGUCUAAUACUGGAUAGGACACCUGCCUGCAUGGGUGUGGUGUGGAAAGAUUUUUUGGUGGUGGAUGGACUCGCGGCCUAUCAGCUUGUUGGUGGGGUAAUGGCCUACCAAGGCGACGACGGGUAGCCGGCCUGAGAGGGUGACCGGCCACACUGGGACUGAGACACGGCCCAGACUCCUACGGGAGGCAGCAGUGGGGAAUAUUGCACAAUGGGCGGAAGCCUGAUGCAGCGACGCCGCGUGAGGGAUGACGGCCUUCGGGUUGUAAACCUCUUUCAGCUCUGACGAAGCUUUUGUGACGGUAGGAGCAGAAGAAGCACCGGCUAACUACGUGCCAGCAGCCGCGGUAAUACGUAGGGUGCGAGCGUUGUCCGGAAUUAUUGGGCGUAAAGAGCUUGUAGGCGGUUUGUCGCGUCUGCUGUGAAAGCCCGGGGCUUAACUCCGGGUCUGCAGUGGGUACGGGCAGGCUAGAGUGUGGUAGGGGAGACUGGAAUUCCUGGUGUAGCGGUGGAAUGCGCAGAUAUCAGGAGGAACACCGAUGGCGAAGGCAGGUCUCUGGGCCAUUACUGACGCUGAGAAGCGAAAGCGUGGGGAGCGGACAGGGAUUAGAUACCCUGGUAGUCCACGCCGUA
This 719-nucleotide ribosomal RNA is filed under the name Serinicoccus profundi. Its description in RNAcentral is "bacterial SSU rRNA". It matches the Rfam family "Bacterial small subunit ribosomal RNA", at positions 73 to 804 of the family's 1533-position model. The record is from RNAcentral. Lineage: Bacteria; Bacillati; Actinomycetota; Actinomycetes; Micrococcales; Ornithinimicrobiaceae.